CCUACGGGAUGCAGCAGUGAGGAAUAUUGGUCAAUGGACGAGAGUCUGAACCAGCCAAGUAGCGUGAAGGAUGACUGCCCUAUGGGUUGUAAACUUCUUUUAUAUGGGAAUAAAACGUUCCACGUGUGGGAUUUUGUAUGUACCAUAUGAAUAAGGAUCGGCUAACUCCGUGCCAGCAGCCGCGGUAAUACGGAGGAUCCGAGCGUUAUCCGGAUUUAUUGGGUUUAAAGGGAGCGUAGGUGGAUUGUUAAGUCAGUUGUGAAAGUUUGCGGCUCAACCGUAAAAUUGCAGUUGAAACUGGCAGUCUUGAGUACAGUAGAGGUGGGCGGAAUUCGUGGUGUAGCGGUGAAAUGCUUAGAUAUCACGAAGAACUCCGAUUGCGAAGGCAGUUCACUGGACUGCAACUGACACUGAGGCUCGAAAGUGUGGGUAUCAAACAGGAUUAGAUACCCGAGUAGUC
Molecule: ribosomal RNA, 460 nt
Filed under: uncultured bacterium
Lineage: Bacteria
Description: partial 16S ribosomal RNA
Rfam family: Bacterial small subunit ribosomal RNA
Source: RNAcentral